Molecule: long non-coding RNA, 681 nt
Organism: Gasterosteus aculeatus aculeatus (three-spined stickleback)
Lineage: Eukaryota; Metazoa; Chordata; Actinopteri; Perciformes; Gasterosteidae
Source: Ensembl
UGUCCAGCCCAGCUUGUGUCUCUUUUAACGAGGGAGUCAUCUACAGGCGGCACGAAGGGCUCCCAGCUUUCUCUGGCAGUCCAAGCUCAACUGGAAUCGUGUCUCUGCCGGAUGGUAUUUCGGUAAUUACAGGCUGGACGGGCUGUUGAUGAAGAGGAGACCUGUUGACGGGAGGAAAACCACCGCCUGCUCCAAAACAAGUAACGUCACGGGGACAAACGCAUAACUGCGCACGUUUGUACAUAUUUUAAAUUUGUCAUGCUUACAGACUAAAUGCCCUUGAAUUAACAAUGUUAAUUGAUACUUUUUAUUUAAAACAGUCUGCACUAAAACUAUUAUUAGGGGUCAGUGGGUAAUGUUGAGUAUUUUUCAUUUUUGCUGAGUGAAGUGGUCACAUUGGGUUUUUGGAAGGGAAGAGAGACGUCUUGUCUGAUGUACUUUUGUGUUGUACUGUUGUAUGUUUUCCAAAAUUAGUAAAGGAAAAUGUGAUGCAUAUUGUGAAAAACAUUGAUCCAUUGAUGUAAUGAGGUAAGAAAUAGGACAGUCAAUAGAUGGGUCACACUUUUAUAUUAUUUCUUUAGAUAUCAACUAAGCCAAUUUAAACUGUAUGGUUCAAAAUGCCUGUAGUUUAUGAGUGUAAUAAUUUAUCGAAUAGUGAAUAAAUAAGCCUCAGAUACAAAC